UGAUCAUGGCUCAGGACGAACGCUGGCGGCGUGCCUAACACAUGCAAGUCGAGCGAUGAUAUCCCUUCGGGGAUUGAUUAGCGGCGGACGGGUGAGUAACACGUGGGUAACCUGCCUCAAAGAGGGGGAUAGCCCUCCGAAAGGAGGAUUAAUACCGCAUAAAGUUGAGAGUUCGCAUGAACAUUCAACCAAAGGAGCAAUCCGCUUUGAGAUGGACCCGCGUCCCAUUAGCUAGUUGGCGAGGUAAUAGCUCACCAAGGCGACGAUGGGUAGCCGACCUGAGAGGGUGAUCGGCCACAUUGGAACUGAGAUACGGUCCAGACUCCUACGGGAGGCAGCAGUGGGGAAUAUUGCGCAAUGGGGGAAACCCUGACGCAGCAACGCCGCGUGGGCGACGAAGGUCUUCGGAUUGUAAAGCCCUGUCUUCUGGGACGAUAAUGACGGUACCAGAGGAGGAAGCCACGGCUAACUACGUGCCAGCAGCCGCGGUAAUACGUAGGUGGCAAGCGUUGUCCGGAAUUACUGGGCGUAAAGGGUGCGUAGGCGGAUAUUUAAGUGGGAUGUGAAAUACCUGAGCUCAACUCG
This 585-nucleotide ribosomal RNA is filed under the name uncultured bacterium. RNAcentral describes it as "bacterial SSU rRNA". It matches the Rfam family "Bacterial small subunit ribosomal RNA", at positions 14 to 616 of the family's 1533-position model. The record is from RNAcentral.